CGGACCAGGAUUCCCGCGGGUCCUGGCGGCUGCGAGCGCGAGGCGGCGCGGAUUCGCGGCUCGGUUCCGGCGCGACUGCUCACCGCGCCCGCCUCGCCUCCCGCGGCUGCCAGCGUGCACUGGGCGCUCCUCGGCGCGUCUGCCCGGCCCGUCUCGGCUUUCCUUCUCCUUCCUCUAGUCCCAGCGUCACAACUCCGCCGACCUCCUCUGCCCUGAGAGCGCGUCCGGUGCGGGCGGAGUCGGACGGACUCUGGCUUCACGCCUCGCGCGGGCACACCUUCUCCCGGGCACUGAGGCCCAGGGGAGGCAGAGUCCUUCUGGAGUUUGACCCUUGGAUUCCAUCCAGAGCAGCCUCCAAAAUGACACCUUUGAAGUUGUGUAUCGAGCUGGGGGAUGUAAAGGGAGGAGAAGAAAGAAGAUGAAGAGAUACCAGCCAGCCUUAAGGAGUGGACAUCCUGCCUGGUGAAACUGAACAAGACACCUACCGCAUAUGGAGUUUCGCUCUGUCGCCCAGGCUGGAGUGCAGUGGUGCCAUCUCGGCUCACCGCAACCUCCACCUCCAGGUUCAAGUGAUUCUCCUGCCUCAGCCUCUC
Molecule: long non-coding RNA, 593 nt
Filed under: Homo sapiens (human)
Lineage: Eukaryota; Metazoa; Chordata; Mammalia; Primates; Hominidae
Description: non-protein coding lnc-UTP11-1:6
Source: RNAcentral